CACCACUCAAGCCUCGCUUGGUAUUGGGCGCCGCGGUGUUCCGCGCGCCUCAAAGUCUCCGGCUGAGCUGUCCGUCUCUAAGCGUUGUGAUUUCAUUAAUCGCUUCGGAGCGCGGAUGGCCGCGGCCGUUAAAUCUUUAUUCAAA
This 145-nucleotide unclassified non-coding RNA is filed under the name uncultured Mycosphaerellaceae. Its description in RNAcentral is "sequence contains ITS2". Lineage: Eukaryota; Fungi; Ascomycota; Dothideomycetes; Mycosphaerellales; Mycosphaerellaceae. The record is from RNAcentral.